RNAcentral lists this ribosomal RNA (253 nucleotides) under uncultured bacterium. RNAcentral describes it as "partial 16S ribosomal RNA". It matches the Rfam family "Bacterial small subunit ribosomal RNA", at positions 524 to 776 of the family's 1533-position model. The record is from RNAcentral.
UGCGUAGGGUGCGAGCGUUAAUCGGAAUUACUGGGCGUAAAGCGUGCGCAGGCGGUUCGUUGUGUCGGCGGUGAAAGCCCCGGGCUCAACCUGGGAAUGGCCGUUGAAACUGGCGAACUGGAGUGUGGCAGAGGGGGGUGGAAUUCCGCGUGUAGCAGUGAAAUGCGUAGAUAUGCGGAGGAACACCGAUGGCGAAGGCAAUCCCCUGGGCCUGCACUGACGCUCAUGCACGAAAGCGUGGGGAGCAAACAGG